Long non-coding RNA from Oncorhynchus tshawytscha (Chinook salmon), 1172 nucleotides. Lineage: Eukaryota; Metazoa; Chordata; Actinopteri; Salmoniformes; Salmonidae. The record is from Ensembl.
AGAAGGAGUUUCUCAUGGAACAGUCCUGAACAGAGUGCAUGCAAUAUGUGGUGGGUCUUUAAAAAAAAAUCUGGACCAGAAACUGUACUAGUGGUUAUUCUGAACCAGAAACUGCACUAGAGAGAGUGGUUAUUCUGAACCAGAAACGACCACUAGAGAGAGUGGUUAUUAUGAAGCAAAAACAGCACUAGAGAGAGUGGUUAUUAUGAAGCAAAAACAGCACUAGAGAGAGUGGUUAUUCUGAACCAGAAACAGCAAAAGAGAGAGUAGUUAUUCUGAACCAGAAGCAGCACUAGAGAGAGUGGUUAUUCUGAACCAGAAACGACCACUAGAGAGAGUGGUUAUUAUGAAGCAAAAACAGCACUAGAGAGAGUGGUUAUUAUGAAGCAAAAACAGCACUAGAGAGAGUGGUUAUUCUGAACCAGAAACAGCACUAGAGAGAGUGGUUAUUCUGAACCAGAAACAGCACUAUAGAGAGUGGUUAUUCUGAACCAGAAACGACCACUAGAGAGAGUGGUUAUUCUGAACCAGAAACAGCGCUAGAGAGAGUGGUUAUUCUGAACCAGAAACAGCAAAAGAGAGAGUAGUUAUUCUGAACCAGAAGCAGCACUAGAGAGAGUGGUUAUUCUGAACCAGAAACGACCACUAGAGAGCGUGGUUAUUCUGAACCAGAAGCAGCACUAGAGAGAGUGGUUAUUCUGAACCAGAAACAACCACUAGAGAGAGUGGUUAUUCUGAACCAGAAAUGACCACUAGAGGGGGAGUGGUUCACUUGCUUGACUCUUUGUUCUCAUCCUUUUGAUAUUUUACUAUUGAGUUCUACUAAUCAGCUAUUGCUUUGCUAGCUUCUCAGUGCUACUAUGUGGAAAUGCUAGUGGGUUUACUGGAAUAAAUAGAUUAUGGUUAACCUCUGUUUUUAGCCUUAAUUUAUGUGGGAGAGAUGGAAGAACCUGGCAACAGCAGUGGAGGCACAAAGACGUAAUUUAUUUGACUUGUAUGUAGUUUUACAUGUUUGUACAUUUUUUUGUGUUGGAGUUCCUUUUGACUUUUUUAAUGGAUUCAUUUUGAUUUCUUCUGUUUGGUUUUGAAGGAAGGCCUGUUCAGAACCUGUCUAACACACAAUUACUUUGAAUAAAAUAUCUGUAAGCUUUAUAAAGCUCAGCAGGAUUGUC